GAUGAACGCUGGCGGUAUGCUUAACACAUGCAAGUCGAACGAAAUCUUCGGAUUUAGUGGCGGACGGGUGAGUAACGCGUGAGAAUCUGGCUCUAGGUCUGGGACAACCACUGGAAACGGUGGCUAAUACCGGAUGUGCCGAGAGGUGAAAGGUUAACUGCCUAGAGAUGAGCUCGCGUCUGAUUAGCUAGUAGGUAGUGUAAUGGACUACCUAGGCGACGAUCAGUAGCUGGUCUGAGAGGACGAUCAGCCACACUGGGACUGAGACACGGCCCAGACUCCUACGGGAGGCAGCAGUGGGGAAUUUUCCGCAAUGGGCGAAAGCCUGACGGAGCAAUACCGCGUGAGGGAGGAAGGCUCUUGGGUCGUAAACCUCUUUUCUCAGGGAAGAACACAAUGACGGUACCUGAGGAAUAAGCAUCGGCUAACUCCGUGCCAGCAGCCGCGGUAAUACGGAGGAUGCAAGCGUUAUCCGGAAUGAUUGGGCGUAAAGCGUCCGCAGGUGGCAAUGUAAGUCUGCUGUUAAAGAGUCUAGCUCAACUAGAUAAGAGCAGUGGAAACUACAUAGCUAGAGUACGUUCGGGGCAGAGGGAAUUCCUGGUGUAGCGGUGAAAUGCGUAGAGAUCAGGAAGAACACCGGUGGCGAAGGCGCUCUGCUAGGCCGUAACUGACACUGAGGGACGAAAGCUAGGGGAGCGAAUGGGAUUAGAUACCCCAGUAGUCCUAGCCGUAAACGAUGGAUACUAGGCGUGGCUUGUAUCGACCCGAGCCGUGCCGUAGCUAACGCGUUAAGUAUCCCGCCUGGGGAGUACGCCGGCAACGGUGAAACUCAAAGGAAUUGACGGGGGCCCGCACAAGCGGUGGAGUAUGUGGUUUAAUUCGAUGCAACGCGAAGAACCUUACCAAGGCUUGACAUGUCGCGAAUCUUCUUGAAAGGGAAGAGUGCCUUCGGGAGCGCGAACACAGGUGGUGCAUGGCUGUCGUCAGCUCGUGUCGUGAGAUGUUGGGUUAAGUCCCGCAACGAGCGCAACCCUCGUUUUUAGUUGCCAGCAUUAAGUUGGGCACUCUAGAGAGACUGCCGGUGACAAACCGGAGGAAGGUGGGGAUGACGUCAAGUCAGCAUGCCCCUUACGCCUUGGGCUACACACGUACUACAAUGCUCCGGACAGAGGGCAGCAAGCAUGCGAAUGCAAGCAAAUCCCGUAAACCGGAGCUCAGUUCAGAUCGCAGGCUGCAACUCGCCUGCGUGAAGGAGGAAUCGCUAGUAAUUGCAGGUCAGCAUACUGCAGUGAAUUCGUUCCCGGGCCUUGUACACACCGCCCGUCACACCAUGGAAGCUGGUAGUGCCCGAAGUCAUUACUCCAACCAUUCGUGGAGGAGGAUGCCUAAGGCAGGACUGGUGACUGGGGUGAAGUCGUAACAAGGUAGCCGUACCGGAAGGUGUGGCUGGAUCACCUCCUUU
RNAcentral lists this ribosomal RNA (1462 nucleotides) under Nostoc sp. 9104. Its description in RNAcentral is "bacterial SSU rRNA". It matches the Rfam family "Bacterial small subunit ribosomal RNA". Lineage: Bacteria; Bacillati; Cyanobacteriota; Cyanophyceae; Nostocales; Nostocaceae. The record is from RNAcentral.